RNAcentral lists this long non-coding RNA (1009 nucleotides) under Homo sapiens (human). RNAcentral's name for it is "HSALNT0304067". Lineage: Eukaryota; Metazoa; Chordata; Mammalia; Primates; Hominidae. The record is from RNAcentral.
CUCAUCAUCUCAUCUCAUCUCAUCAUUUCAUCUCAUCAUUCAUCUCAUCAUUUCAUAUCAUUUUAUCUCAUCUCAUCAUUUCAUCUCAUUUCAUCAUUACAUUUCAUCUCAUUUUAUGUCAUCAUUUCAUGUCAUCAUUUCAUCACAUCUCAUCUCAUCAUUUCAUCUCAUCAUUUCAUCAUUUCAUCUCAUUUCAACUCAUUGCAUCUCAUCUCAUUUCCAUUUCAUUAUUCCAUUUCAUCAUUUCAUUAUGUCAUUUCACCUCAUCAUAUUUCAUCUCAUUUCAUCUCAUCAUUUCAUUUCAUCUCAUCAUUUCAUCUCAUUUUAUCUCAUCUCAUCUCAUCAUUUCUUCUCAUUUUAUCUCAUCUCAUCUCAUCAUUUCUUCUCAUCUCAUCAUUUCCAUUUCAUUUUCAUUUCAUUAUUUCAUCAUUUCAUUAUUUCAUUUCAUCUCAUUUCAUUAUUUCAUUUCAUUAUGUCAUUUCAUUUCAUCUCAUUACAUUUCAUCUCAUUUCAUCUCAUCAUUUCAUCCAUCAUUUCAUUUCAUUUCAUCAUUUCAUCUCAUGAUUUCAUCUCAUCUCAUCAUCUCAUUUCAUCUCAUUAUUUCAUCUCAUUUCAUCUCAUCUCAUGAUUUCAUUUCAUCAUUACAUCUCAUCAUUUCAACUCAUCUCAUUUCAAUUUCAUUUCAAUUUCAUUACAUUUCAUAAUUUCCUUUCAUUAUUUCAUUUCAUCUCAUUUCAUUAUUUCAUUUCAUUAUUUCAUUUCAUCUCAUUUUUCAUCUCAUCAUUUUUCAUCUCAUUUCAUCUCAUCAUGUCAUCUCAUCGUUCAUCUCAUUUCAUCUCAUUUUAUCUCAUUAUUUCAUCUCAUCUCAUCUCAUUUCAAUUUCAUUAUUUCAUAUCAUUUCAUUAUUUCAUUUCAUUUCAUCUCAUCAUUUCAUCUCGUUUCAUCUCAUCAUUUCAUCAUCUCAUCAUUUCAUCUCAUUUCAUCUCAUCUCAUCUCCUUUCAAUUUCUU